AAAAGGGAAAACAACCCAGACCCACAGCUAAGGUCCCAAAUUUCACUGCUAAGUGGAAAAACCAUUGUGGAAAGGCACAGACAGCCAGGAGGUUGGCUUAGAAGCAGCCACCCUUUAAAGAAAGCGUAAUAGCUCACUGGUCGAGUCGGUCUGCGGGGAAGAUUUAACGGGGCUAAGCAGUGAACCGAAGCUUGGGGUGCAUACUUUGUAUGCGCGGUAGAGGAGCGUUCCGUAAGCCGUUGAAGGUGGAUUGAGAAGUCUGCUGGAGGGUAUCGGAAGUGCGAAUGCUGACAUGAGUAACGAUAAUGCGGGUGAAAAACCCGCACGCCGAAAGCCCAAGGUUUCCUUGCGCAACGUUAAUCGGCGCAGGGUGAGUCGGCCCCCUAAGGCGAGGACGAAAGUCGUAGUCGAUGGGAAGCAGGUUAAUAUUCCUGCACCUCGCGUAAGUGCGAUGGAGGGACGGAGAAGGUUAGGUGUACCAGGCGUUGGUUGUCCUGGGGAAAGGCGGUAGGUUUGGAUCUUUGGCAAAUCCGGGAUCCUCUAAGACCGAGCACCGAGACGAGCCUUUAUGGCGAAGUCACUGAUACCACGCUUCCAGGAAAAGCUCCUAAGCUUCAGCUUACGCAGACCGUACCGUAAACCGACACAGGUGGGUAGGAUGAGAAUUCUCAGGCGCUUGAGAGAACUCGGGUGAAGGAACUAGGCAACAUGGCACCGUAACUUCGGGAGAAGGUGCACCCUUUUUGGUGGCUCGUGCGAGCUAUAGCUGAAGAGGGUCGCAGUAACCAGGCCGCUGCGACUGUUUAUCAAAAACACAGCACUCUGCAAACACGAAAGUGGACGUAUAGGGUGUGACGCCUGCCCGGUGCUGGAAGGUUAAUUGAUGGGGUCAGCCGCAAGGCGAAGCUCUUGAUCGAAGCCCCAGUAAACGGCGGCCGUAACUAUAACGGUCCUAAGGUAGCGAAAUUCCUUGUCGGGUAAGUUCCGACCUGCACGAAUGGCGUAACGACAGCGGCGCUGUCUCCACCCGAGACUCAGUGAAAUUGAAAUCGCUGUGAAGAUGCAGCGUUCCCGUGGCAAGACGGAAAGACCCCGUGAACCUUUACUAUAGCUUUACACUGAACGUUGAGUUCGUCUGUGUAGGAUAGGUGGGAGGCUAUGAAACCAUGGCGCUAGCUGUGGCGGAGCCAUCCUUGAAAUACCACCCUGUCGUGCUUGACGUUCUAACCUGGGCCCAUUAUCUGGGUCGGGGACCGUGUAUGGUGGGUAGUUUGACUGGGGCGGUCUCCUCCUAAAGAGUAACGGAGGAGCUCGAAGGUACGCUCAGCGCGGUCGGACAUCGCGCACUGUGUGCAAAGGCAUAAGCGUGCUUGACUGCAAGAUCGACGGAUCAAGCAGGUAGGAAACUAGGACUUAGUGAUCCGGUGGUUCUGUAUGGAAGGGCCAUCGCUCAACGGAUAAAAGGUACUCCGGGGAUAACAGGCUGAUACCGCCCAAGAGUUCAUAUCGACGGCGGUGUUUGGCACCUCGAUGUCGGCUCAUCACAUCCUGGGGCUGUAGUCGGUCCCAAGGGUAUGGCUGUUCGCCAUUUAAAGUGGUACGCGAGCUGGGUUCAGAACGUCGUGAGACAGUUCGGUCCCUAUCUGCCAUGGGCGUUGGAGAUUUGAGAGGGGCUGCUCCUAGUACGAGAGGACCGGAGUGGACGAACCUCUGGUGUUCCGGUUGUCACGCCAGUGGCAUUGCCGGGUAGCUAUGUUCGGAAGCGAUAACCGCUGAAAGCAUCUAAGCGGGAAGCGCGCCUCAAGAUGAGAUCUCCCGGGGCACAAGCCCCCUGAAGGAACCAUGUAGACUACGUGGUUGAUAGGUCAGGUGUGUAAGUACAGCAAUGUAUUGAGCUAACUGAUACUAAUGAUCCGAGAGGCUUGACCAU
Molecule: ribosomal RNA, 1930 nt
Filed under: Stenotrophomonas maltophilia
Lineage: Bacteria; Pseudomonadati; Pseudomonadota; Gammaproteobacteria; Lysobacterales; Lysobacteraceae
Description: 23S ribosomal RNA
Rfam family: Bacterial large subunit ribosomal RNA
Source: RNAcentral